This 1001-nucleotide long non-coding RNA is filed under the name Salmo salar (Atlantic salmon). Its description in RNAcentral is "lncRNA (ENSSSAG00000107476.1)". The record is from RNAcentral. Lineage: Eukaryota; Metazoa; Chordata; Actinopteri; Salmoniformes; Salmonidae.
ACGUCCAAUCCAACUUGGCUGCAGUCUCUCUAUCGGCCUGGCGGAUAUCCGGGUCUCCAAUAAUACGUGGACUUUGCCACCCACAACAAAGGCGAUUAUACUGGACCUGGUCUGUACCACAGGUGUGAAUCCCUCAAGGCUCGGUUCUGGGGUCACUACUGUUUUGUAUCUACGUGCUGCUACUGGGUAACUUGAGGAAACACGGAUUGGGGCUUCACUUUAAUGCAGAUGAUACUCAGCUGUACAGUUGAAGUCGGGAAGUUUACAUACACUUAGGUUGGAGUCAUUAAAACUCGUUUUUAAGUGAAAUAAUCUGUCUGUAAACAAUUGUAUAUAGUGUGUAGUGUCAACGUCCCGACCUUCCAGGGAGGUUCAGCAGCUGCAGCCUCGGUAUUGAUGUUGUCCAGGGAGGUUCAGCAGCUGCAGCCUCGGUAUUGAUGUUGUCCAGGGAGGUUGUUAACCUGGGUUUAAUAUUUGACAGUCAGCUCUCUUUUGAGGCUCACAUCAAGAAUCUGACCAAAGUGUCAUUUUUCCAUCUGAACGUAACAUUGCCAGGUUACGGCCUAUCACAACCUGCAGCUGAGUGACUCCAUCCUUUAGUUCAUCCCUGUCUAGACGAUUGUAACGGCCUGUUUUUGAUGCAUCUGUCAGGUUUCUAAACAGGCUAUAAUAUGUCCAGAACUCUGCUGCACGUAUCCUCACCCCCCCCCCCGUGAGCACACCCCUCCAGUGCUGUUCAAUCUCCACUGGCUCCCCAUAUGCUCACACAUCGACUACAACAUCCUGGUUCUCACCUACCGAGCUCUAUCCACAACCCUGGAUCCAAGUACCUGUCUGAUCUCAUCCUACCUUCCUGCCCCCACACUCAGCCUUCGCUCCUCCCUUCAGCAUCCCCACAGCAGACUAAAAAUUAUGAGUGAUAGGACUUUCAGUUGUGUCCUAUGUUCUCUGGGUCCUAUGUUCUCUGGGUUCUAUGUUCUCUGUGUCCUGUGUUCUCUGUG